Molecule: long non-coding RNA, 303 nt
Filed under: Trifolium pratense (red clover)
Lineage: Eukaryota; Viridiplantae; Streptophyta; Magnoliopsida; Fabales; Fabaceae
Description: long non-coding RNA (TPRA_LNC006346)
Source: RNAcentral
AAGAGAAACAUCAGAAAGCCCAAAAGAUAUGAGGACUAAUAUGGAGCACAAGAAGACAAAGAAACCAAUCAUGAGGAAAUCAAAUACGAAUCAUCAGAAGAAUAUUUUCAUAGGAAUAUUAAGUUGUUAUUUUGUUUGUUAUUUUUUGUUUUAUUGAUAAGGACAGAUGUCCUCUAGAUUUAUGAAUUGCUAUGAGAUGAUUACAAGUGUCAAUAGAUCCAUAGACCUUGGAUCAUUCUAGAAUCCCUAGGAGGAUAUUUAUAUGAUUGUACUAGUGAUAUUGAAUUCAAGUAAAAAUUUCAC